This 857-nucleotide ribosomal RNA is filed under the name uncultured bacterium. Its description in RNAcentral is "SSU rRNA". It matches the Rfam family "Bacterial small subunit ribosomal RNA", at positions 524 to 1381 of the family's 1533-position model. The record is from RNAcentral.
UACGGGAGUGGCAAGCGUUAUCCGGAAUUAUUGGGCGUAAAGCGUCCGCAGGCGGUCUGUCAAGUCUGCUGUUAAAGCGUGGAGCUUAACUCCAUUAAGGCAGUGGAAACUGACAGACUAGAGUGUGGUAGGGGCAGAGGGAAUUCCCGGUGUAGCGGUGAAAUGCGUAGAUAUCGGGAAAAACACCAGUGGCGAAGGCGCUCUGCUGGGCCAUAACUGACGCUCAUGGACGAAAGCCAGGGGAGCGAAAGGGAUUAGAUACCCCUGUAGUCCUGGCCGUAAACGAUGAACACUAGGUGUCGGGGGAAUCGACCCCCUCGGUGUCGUAGCCAACGCGUUAAGUGUUCCGCCUGGGGAGUACGCACGCAAGUGUGAAACUCAAAGGAAUUGACGGGGGCCCGCACAAGCGGUGGAGUAUGUGGUUUAAUUCGAUGCAACGCGAAGAACCUUACCAGGGCUUGACAUCCUGCGAAUCUUUUGGAAACGAGAGAGUGCCUUCGGGAACGCAGUGACAGGUGGUGCAUGGCUGUCGUCAGCUCGUGUCGUGAGAUGUUGGGUUAAGUCCCGCAACGAGCGCAACCCACGUCGUUAGUUGCCAGCAUUUAGUUGGGCACUCUAGCGAGACCGCCGGUGAUAAACCGGAGGAAGGUGCGGAUGACGUCAAGUCAUCAUGCCCCUUACAUCCUGGGCUACACACGUACUACAAUGCUACGGACAAAGGGCAGCAAACUCGCGAGAGGUAGCCAAUCCCAUAAACCGUGUCUCAGUUCAGAUCGUAGUCUGCAACUCGCCUACGUGAAGGAGGAAUCGCUAGUAAUCGCAGGUCAGCAUACCGCGGUGAAUACGUUCCCGGGCCU